GACGAACGCUUGCGGCGUGCUUAACACAUGCAAGUCGAACGGAAAGGCCCUGCUUUUGUGGGGUGCUCGAGUGGCGAACGGGUGAGUAACACGUGAGUAACCUGCCCUUGACUUUGGGAUAACUUCAGGAAACUGGGGCUAAUACCGGAUAGGAGCUCCUGCUGCAUGGUGGGGGUUGGAAAGUUUCGGCGGUUGGGGAUGGACUCGCGGCUUAUCAGCUUGUUGGUGGGGUAGUGGCUUACCAAGGCUUUGACGGGUAGCCGGCCUGAGAGGGUGACCGGCCACAUUGGGACUGAGAUACGGCCCAGACUCCUACGGGAGGCAGCAGUGGGGAAUAUUGCACAAUGGGCGGAAGCCUGAUGCAGCAACGCCGCGUGCGGGAUGACGGCCUUCGGGUUGUAAACCGCUUUCGCCUGUGACGAAGCGUGAGUGACGGUAAUGGGUAAAGAAGCACCGGCUAACUACGUGCCAGCAGCCGCGGUGAUACGUAGGGUGCGAGCGUUGUCCGGAUUUAUUGGGCGUAAAGGGCUCGUAGGUGGUUGAUCGCGUCGGAAGUGUAAUCUUGGGGCUUAACCCUGAGCGUGCUUUCGAUACGGGUUGACUUGAGGAAGGUAGGGGAGAAUGGAAUUCCUGGUGGAGCGGUGGAAUGCGCAGAUAUCAGGAGGAACACCAGUGGCGAAGGCGGUUCUCUGGGCCUUUCCUGACGCUGAGGAGCGAAAGCGUGGGGAGCGAACAGGCUUAGAUACCCUGGUAGUCCACGCUGUAAACGGUGGGUACUAGGUGUGGGGUCCAUUCCACGGGUUCCGUGCCGUAGCUAACGCUUUGAGUACCCCCGCCUGGGGAGUACGGCCGCAAGGCUAAAACUCAAAGGAAUUGACGGGGCCCCGCACAAGCGGCGGAGCAUGCGGAUUAAUUCGAUGCAACGCGUAGAACCUUACCUGGGUUUGACAUGGAUCGGGAGUGCUCAGAGAUGGGUGUGCCUCUUUUGGGGUCGGUUCACAGGUGGUGCAUGGCUGUCGUCAGCUCGUGUCGUGAGAUGUUGGGUUAAGUCCCGCAACGAGCGCAACCCUUGUUCACUGUUGCCAGCACGUUAUGGUGGGGACUCAGUGGAGACCGCCGGGGUCAACUCGGAGGAAGGUGGGGAUGACGUCAAGUCAUCAUGCCCCUUAUGUCCAGGGCUUCACGCAUGCUACAAUGGCUGGUACAGAGAGUGGCGAGCCUGUGAGGGUGAGCGAAUCUCGGAAAGCCGGUCUCAGUUCGGAUUGGGGUCUGCAACUCGACCUCAUGAAGUCGGAGUCGCUAGUAAUCGCAGAUCAGCAACGCUGCGGUGAAUACGUUCCCGGG
Molecule: ribosomal RNA, 1344 nt
Filed under: uncultured bacterium
Lineage: Bacteria
Description: 16S ribosomal RNA
Rfam family: Bacterial small subunit ribosomal RNA
Source: RNAcentral